This 42983-nucleotide long non-coding RNA is filed under the name Zea mays. RNAcentral's name for it is "long non-coding RNA (ZMAY_LNC000772)". The record is from RNAcentral. Lineage: Eukaryota; Viridiplantae; Streptophyta; Magnoliopsida; Poales; Poaceae.
UGUCAUGUGCGGACGCACAUAUGCCAGGCACAGACGCGCCCGCAACGUGCGUCGCACAACUGAUCACGCUGGGCAGGUUCUAAUCCAAUUAGUAGUAAGUAUUUUCUUUUUUAUUUAAUAGUCUCUGACUAUCAUUAAAUAAAGGGUAGAGCAAUUCUUUUUUCUAGAGAUUCUAGAGAAAGUGAGACAAAGUGAAGCGAAAGAGUUUUCUUUGUAUAAGAAUUAGGUCUAUAUCAUAUCUAAAUAGAAGGGAAAUCAAAAAGAAGGGAAGUGGUGGGUUAGCCUCUAGUGGCUAAAGAUAUAAACUUAGAUUAGUAAGUUGUUUUGAAAAUCCCUAGAAUCAAGGAGAGUUUUGGAAAUCCCUAGAAUCAAGGAGAGCCUUCUCCAUUUCGGUUGGGCCAUUGGCUAUAUAUGCUUGUAAUCGCUUGACAAUCAAUUAAGGAAGAAUUAUAUCCUUAAUCUCUCUCUGUGUGUGUUAAACCUGCGGUUGAGGGGGGGAUAACCUCACUGGAGAGGACGACAGAUGGCUACGAGCUGCGUAGCCACGGUCCGGCUAGUCGGGGGCUCGACGCCCUUGACAUCAAAUAGUUUGUGGAUAAAACUAAAAACGAUCCAAAAAAUAAAAUAUGGAAGAGCACAUCUAUGAAAAAAAGGACAGAUGAAUGGAAAUUUUCAGACACAUGUAAAAACAGACAAGUGAGGAGCUUUGGGUUAUCUUACAAAGCACUUGGUGAAUGGACCCCCAGUAUGAAGGGUCUCCUUAAGGAUGGAGUUUGUAUUAACAAUGCUCUUCAAAAUAACUGUAAUGCUGUCUUCGUUGCUGCAAUAAGCAAGGCAACUCAUGAUCACAAGGUUAUUCUGAAUCACCAAACUAAAAUGAGGAUAAACAUAGUAGCUCUUAAGAAAUAGAAGGCAAACCUUGUUCUACUAUUACCAACAACAACAGAAGGCCGUAUAGGAACAGGUGGCACUGCAAUCUCUGUCACAAUAAGUUUCUCUGGCCUAUCACCAAGGUUUAGUAAUUCACAAUCCUGCAGAAAAAUGAAAAAAGAGUAAACUUUUGUCAACAAAACUGCGACAAGUUCAAAUUGCAAAAUAGCAUCUAAUGUGAGGCAACCAAUGUGGCUUGGGGCAACUUGUUAGAUAGGUUUAAUGUUUUCUCCAGCUCACUUGCCUGUCCUAGUGUUAUUGAGCACUAAAACAGGGAGUAGCAGAACACAUCAAAUGGUCCUUCUUCACUUAAGACCCUUGAAGGAUGAAAAUUGGCACCAACCUCAUCAAUCAUUCUUCUGAAUAGAGAUAGAACAGUUGCAGGGUCUAACACUAGAACUGAACUAGCAGACACCUUUUCUUUCUUAUUUUGUAGUGCAUUCUUCAAUUCUUCUGUAUGUCCAUCCAAAACUUUGCUACAAUCAUGAACUACUAUCAAGCCCGCUCUGCCUUUUUUAACUACACCUGUUUUUACAACAAAAACAGGAAAGAGUUGACUGUUGAGCGAUUUCUUGCAAAUGUUAGCUUACAAACAACAGUCAGGUAUCAGUAGUGACAUUACAAGGUAAAAUUAUUAUGGACAAUAUAGGAUGGCUUACCAUUUCUGUAAUCACAACGGGGGCAGCAGGAUAGUUUGCAUUUGUCCCUCACUUUUUUCAUUGUAGCACUUUUCUGUAGUGCAUCUGCCCUGGGAUUUCUCAUCUUCUUUAGAAACUCCCUGCGGUCUUUCUCGAUAAGAAGAACUCUACUACAGCUCUGGAAAGGCAUGAGGGAACGAGAAUAAUUAACAAGUCAGAGUUCAAGUGUUCAGCCCACCCAUGAUGUAAACUUCUUCAUGGCAGUACCUUGCAGAUGCACUUCAACACGUCCAGAAUACAGUUAAAGAAGCCCACGUUAAAAACUGGAAGCGCGAGCUUCAAGUAGCCGAAAUGACCUGGACAGUCACUAAAUUCACCAUGGCAGGUAUUGCAUUUGCCUCUCUUAGUCGGGAUUCCCUGAAAUUUGACACGGGAAAAAUAAGUUGCAACAACUUGAACGAUGCCACAAACGCACGUUUAUGUUAGAACUCCCAUCUUCAAAUCAUCAAUGAAAAUACACAUGACGAAACAGCAAUACCGAGCGGGGCAUUACCAUUCGCGGGUCGAGCAACCCAUUGGGAACCGGCGUCAUGUCGCGGUCAUAGAUCCGGUUGUUCCAGACCUGUACCUCCGCUGACUUGCGAAUCUCGCUGCCCGAGAGCACGCUGAACCGGAUGCUCUUUCUGACAUCAAAAGCAACCAAACGUAACAGGGAAGCGGCAGAGUAAGUGUAAUCGUCGAGCUACGAUUCAUUAAACGGGACGCGAGCCGCAUGCUUACAUCCUCCGGGUGCCGACGUCCUCGAUGAAGGGUUCCUUGGUGCAGCGCAGCUUCUCCUCCGGCUUCGCCAUCACUUGAUGCGUUGCUCUGUACGGAUUAGAGUAGGGACUAGGUAUGCUGGGGAGUGAAGGGCGGCGGGCGGCGGGAGACGAGCACCGUAGUUUCGUCUCGAGCCGCCGCCGGCUAUUCUCCGGCGAGGAGUCCUCUGCACAGAAAGCGGAGGUGGAAGCAGCUUAGGCGGCGGCGGCGGCGGCGCGGGAGACCUAGAUCACUUUUACCUUACUGAUGACUUAAAUAAGUAAGGGUAAACUGAUAUUAUAUAUUGUCCCGUUCAAAUUUAUAAAAACAUUUGACUUUUUUUCUUUAAAUUUAAAUUUAAUAUAAAAAUCAGAGAUUAUUUAAACUGAUAUUAUAUAUUGUCUCGUUCUCAAAUAUUGUGAAUCAAAAACAAGUCAACACGAUUAUCAAACAUUAAGGACAUUUGUCUUUGAAAUAUUAUCUCCUCUCGGAUAUAAUGAUCUCCAGACGAAGAUCAUUGAUGACACGUCUUCAUGGUUCAUAAGAGUUUAUAUGCAUGAGUUGUUUUAUCCAUUAAUAUAUUUAUUCCAUGAUAAACAUAUAAAUAUUAUUAGAAUUUAUAUUACAUUGAUAUCUUCGGCUUGUUUGAAGGUGAUAACACGAGAGCAAUUACAAUCCAACGUGAACAGUAUGAGGGUACUGUUCAUCUAUUUAUAGGCAACUAUAAAAGUUUGUGUGCUAUUACAUUUAUGCCCUCGACAAUUACAUACAGAGUUUGCAAAAUGUUACAAGAGCAGUAUCGUCAUUUGUAUUUACUAACUUGAGCAACACCUUCUCCUCAUGUUGUAUAUCUGUUUCACCGUGAUGAAGCAUGUUGGACGAAGCUCACUUCGCUCCUCUUGUGUUAUGUCGAAGCUUUUCUGGUGACGAAGCUCUUGUAAUAUCUAAUAGUAUAUUGAAAGCAAAUGGUUAACCGCGUUUUUGACGACCUUUAGAAGAGGAAGGCCCCCAACAAUAACAUCGCUUGCAUUGCUAGGCAAACAAGGAAAACUGCUACUCUGUCCCGCCUAACCUAAGAGAUGGAUUAGUAUUAGGAAGAUUCAAUUCAAAAUACACAAAUAGUCGUUGAACACAUCACAACAACAAAAAAAAUAAUGAAUUUUAGCUAAAACACUCGUACUAUAAAAGUACACACAAUUAGUAGUACUAGUGUUGCACCGACUAAAUAGCUAUGAUAGAGAUGACCAUUAUUAAUCUAAUAAGAGUACAAAUUUCAAAUGUUGAAUGGCUAGACCACCUCUCUUGGUUUUGUGUUGCUGCAUGUUCUGAACUUUUUCCAUUGUAGAGGCAACAUGAAUAGUCGCUCAUCGACUCUUCAUAAUUGACUCUUCAUAAUUGUAGCAUCGCUUGCAUUGCUAGGCAACAAGGAGAAAUUGUUGCUCUAUCCAACCUAGCAUAAGAGAUGGAUUAGCAUUAGGAAGAUUCAAUUCAAAAUACACAAAUAGUCGUUGAACACAUCACAACAAAGAUAUUAGUGAAUUUUAGCUAAAGCACAUGUAUUAGUGGCUACCAGGGGCACUAUGGAAGUAGAGCCUAUUUUUUCUGAAAUUGCAACUCUGGUUCAUCAGUUGUCUGUUGUUCCUCACUAGAAAUCUGAAAUUUUGUUCAUUACAUAUAGCAAAGAUCAUGCAAACAGGACACCUGACUGCGAACACAAGGUUGACUUGUCCCUUGUGAUUCGGGUUGAUGAUGAUUGAUUGUCAGCGGGUAGCACUACAGGGUAGUCAGUGGACUGACCAGAGUGUGAGAUUAUGUUUGUGCAACCAUUUCGGUCGUCUUGUGGUGUGCAGGUGUGGAGCAUAGGGAUGGUGGUCAACGACUGAUGUGAAGGUCAUGCAGACUCGUCCUGAUGGACCGAGAGCGGUGAAGGCGAGUGUUGGGUCUUGACUGACGGACCAGAGCAGCCGGGUGACCAGUCGCGGUGGCUGACACCUAGGACACUGAAAGGGAAAUGUGCCCUUGGAUCAUUUCUAUAAAUAUUUUAGUGAUUAGAUGUUGAACACAUAUUGUUUUGUGCUAAGUGUCAAAGAGAUGCAAAUGGAAAAACAAGGUAUGACUCUAGCCUUAGUAAAUUGUUUUUGGUACUAACAUAUUCUUCUAAGUGCUAGAAACCUUGGCAAAUCGAGAGAAAUCAGAUUGGGGAACUCGCAUCAGCCUACGUUACACCGGACUGUCUAGUGUGCACCGGGCAGUGUCCGGUGCCCAGGCUGACGCGCCGGCAAACAGGCAGCUCUCGGGAUAAACUCAGCGUGCCACAACUAUAGUUCACCGGACUGUCCGGUGAGUCAGCCGCACCCACGCCAACGGGCAGCCACGCGAUCAGCGGGCGACACGUGGACUUCACCAAUGGUCGAAUGGUCACACCGGACUGUCAUGUGUGCCACCAGACUGUCCGGUGUGCCACGAGGGUCGAUGGCUGCAACGGUCGGCUUCACCAGAAAAGGAAGGAAAUCGUGCACUAUUCACUGUUUGGUGAUGCACCGGACUGUCAGGUGUGCCCACGGACAGAAGGCAACAAUGGCCUUCCAAAAUGGAGCUCCAACGGCUCCUAGCUUCCUUGGGGCUAUAAAAGGGACCCCUAGGCGUAUGGAGCAGGACACCAAGCCUCCAUUGAACAUCCUAAGACGCCUAGACCCCACAAACACGCAUUCGACUCAUUGUGUUUGAGAUCUUAGCACUUUUCUGAGUUGUGACUCUGUUGCGCUAUGUUGUGUACUCGAUUCUUGACUUGUGUGCGUGUUAUUACUACGACUCUAGCUCUUAUGUGUGUUUAUUUUCCCUCCCUUACUCUUGUGGUUGAAUUGUGAUCAAUCUUGUAAGGGUGUGAAAGGGAAAUAGGGUUAACCUUUUCCCGGUAUUAAUUUUGGUGGUUGAAUGCCCAACACAAAUAUUGGACUAACUAGUUUGCUCUAGAGUAUAUGAUCUACAGGUGCAUAAAGGUUCAACACAAACCAAUAAAAGAUUGAAGAUAGGGUUCAAAUACAAAGGAGCAAAGGAACCGAGAGUGCCCUGGUCUGGCGCACCGGACUGUUCGGUGUGCCACCGGACAGUGUCCGGUGCACCAGGACCAUACAAUCCCAAACCAGCCACUCUCGGGUUUUCGCCAGCGCGCUCCACUAUAAUUCACCGGACUGUCCGGUGUGCCACCGGACUGUCCAGUGUACCAGCGGAGUAACGGCUAUCCAGCGCAACAGUCGACUGCAACGUCGCCUGACAUCGCUAAAGUGAAGAACAGUGUGCGCGCAGAGUCAGAGGCGCACCGGACAGUGAACAGUGCCUGUCCGGUGCGGCACCGGACUGUCCGGUGCCACUAGAAGACAAAGCCUCCAACGAUUGACUGCUCUCGAACCCUAACGGUUGGGUGACGUGGCUGGCGCACCAGACUGUCCGGUGCGCCCAUCGACAGCAGCCUGCCCCAACGGUCAAAUUGGUGGUUUAGGGCUAUAAAUACCUCCCAACCACCACCACUCCAACCAUCCAAACAUUCCACACAUUGCAUUCAAUACAAGAGCGAUAGACUUCACUCCAAGACACAAAUCAAAGCAAUCGAUCCACUCGAAGUCCCAAAUUCAACUCUAGCGCAUUAGGGCUUGUGAGAGGAUCACUUGUGUUUCUUGUUGCUCUUGUUUGCUUGGUUGGCUUUCUUUUCUUUUCAUUUGUUACUCUCAAGUGCUUUGUAAGCAAGGCAAGAGACACCAAUUGUGUGGUGGUCCUUGCAGGGUCUAAGUGACCCGUGAGAAGUAAGAAGAAAGCUCAUUCGGUCUAAGUGACCGUUUGAGAGAGGGAAAGGGUUGAAAGAGACCCGAUCUUUGUGACCACCUCAACGAGGACUAGGUUCUUUAGAACUGAACCUCGGUAAAACAAAUCACCGUGUUCAUCCACUUUAUUUUUUUGGUUGAUUUGUUUUUCCCUAUCUUUCGAACUCGAAUUUAAUUCUAACGCUAUCCCCGGCUUGUAGUGUGCGCUUAAGUUUAUAAUUUUCAGAUUCCGCCUAUUCACCCCCCUCUAGGCGACUUUCAAUUGGUAUCAGAGCCUGGCGGUUCAUUAGAGUCUAACAACUCGAAGUGAUGUCGGGAGGAUCCGCCAAGAGGGAGAUAGAAACCGGCGAGAAGGCCACAAGCCAUGGGAAGGCUCCAUCAAGGGAGUCUGGCACCAAAGCCAAAGAGGGAUCCCCUCUCCACGUCAAGUCGCAUCGGAGUGGCGACAAGAAGAAGAAGAUGAAGAAAGUGGUCUACUACGAGACCGAUUCUUCGUCGCCCUCCACAUCCGGCUCCGACACGCCGUUCGUCACUUCUAAGCGCCAUGAGCGCAAGAAGUUUAGUAAGAUCCCCUUACGCUAUCCACGCAUUUCCAAACGCACUCCUUUACUUUCCGUCCCACUAGGCAAACCACCGGUCUUUAACGGUGAAGAUUAUUGUAUGUGGAGUGAUAAAAUGAGGCACCAUCUAACCUCACUCCACGCUAGCAUUUGGGAUAUUGUUGAGUUUGGUGCGCAGGAACCAUCCGUGGGGGAUGAAGGCUAUGAUUCGGACGAGGUAGCCCAAAUCCAACACUUCAACUCCCAAGCCACUACUAUACUCCUCGCCUCUCUAAGUCGAGAGGAGUAUAAUAAGGUACAAGGGUUGAAGAGUGCCAAAUAGAUUUGGGACAUGCUCAAGAUCGCGCACGAAGGAGACGAGGUGACCAAGAUCACCAAGCGAGAGACGAUCGAGGGGGAGCUCGGUCGAUUCAUGCUUUACCAAGGGGAGGAGCCACAAGCCAUGUAUAACCGGCUCAAGACCUUGGUGAACCAAGUGCGCAACCUCGGGAGCACCAAAUGGGAUGACCAUGAGAUGGUCAAGGUUAUUCUUAGAUCACUCGUUUUCCUUAACCCUACUCAAGUUCAAUUAAUUCGUGGUGAUCCAAGAUAUAAACUAAUGUCUCCCGAGGAAGUGAUAGGAAAGUUUGUGAGCUUUGAGCUAAUGAUCAAAGGCUCCAAACAAAUCAUUGAGCGAGGCGCCUCCUCCACACCCGAGGUACAACCCGUCACAUUCAAGGCGACAGAGGAGAAGAAAGAAGAGUCUACAUCAAGUAGACUCCCCAUCGACGCCUCCAAACUCGACAACGAGGAGAUGGCGCUCAUCAUCAAGAGCUUCCACCAAAUCCUCAAGCAAAGGAGGGGGAAUGAUUACAAACCCCGCUCCAAGAAGGUUUGCUACAAAUGUGGUAAGCCUGGUCAUUUCAUUGCUAAAUGUCCAUUAUCAAGUGAUAGUGACAGGGGCGAUGACAAGAAGGGAAGAAGGAAGGAGAAGAAGAAGUAUUACAAGAAGAAGGGCGGCGAUGCCCAUGUUUGCCGGGAGUGGGACUCCGAUGAGAGCUCCACCGACUCCUCCUCCGACGAGGAUGUCGCAAACAUCGCCGUCAACAAGGGUCUCCUCUUCCCCAACGUCGGCCACAAGUGCCUCAUGGCAAGGGACGACAAAACGAAGGUAAAAUCUAGAGCCUCCACUAAAUAUGCAACAUCUAGUGAUGAGGAGAACUCUAGUGAUGAUGAGGAUAAUUUAGUUGCCCUUUUUGCCAACCUAAAUAUGCAACAAAAGGAAAAAUUAAAUGAAUUGAUAGGUGCUAUUCAUGAGAAGGAUGAACUCUUGGAUAGCCAAGAGGACUUCCUAAUUAAGGAAAAUAAGAAGUAUGUUAAGGUUAAGAAUGCUUAUGCUCAGGAGAUAGAAAAAUGUGAGAAAUUGACUAAUGAGCUUAGCACUUGCCAUGAUAUCAUAUCCAACCUUAGAAAUGAUAAUGCCAAAUUAAUUGCUAAGGUUGAGAAGUUAAAUGUUUGUGAUGAUUCUUUUGCCAAUCUUAAAAAUGAUAAUGCUAGUUUACUUGCUAAGAUUGACAAAUUAAAUGAAUCAAUUUCUAGCCUUAAAACUGAGAAUGACAAAUUAAUUGCUAAGGCUAAGAAUUUAAAUGUUUGCAAUGAUAUUGUUUCAAAUCUUAGAAAUGAAAAUGUCAUGUUACAUGCUAAGAUUGAUGAGUUUAAUGUUUGCAAACCCUCUACAUCUAUCAUUGAGCAUGUAUCUAUUUGCACUAGAUGUAGAGAUGUUAAUGUCGAUGCUAUCCAUGAUCACAUUGCUAUGAUUAAACAACAAAAUGAUCACAUAGCAAAAUUAGAUGCUAAAAUUGUCGAGCAUGAAUUAGAGAAUGAAAAAUUUAAAUUUGCUCGUAGUAUGCUUUAUAGUGGGAGACGCCCUGGCAUUAAGGAUGGCAUUGGCUUCCAACAGGGAGGCAAUGUCAAGCUUAAUGCCCCUAAGAAAUUGCCUAAUUUUGUUAAGGGCAAAGCUCCCAUGGCUCAGGAUAACGAGGGUUACAUUUUAUACCAUGCCGGUUAUCCCGAGCACAAAAUUAGGAGAAUUCACUCUAGGAAGUCUCACUCUGGCUCUAAUCAUGCUUUUAUGUAUAAGAGUGAGGCAUCUAGCUCUAGGCAAUCAACCCAUGUUAAAUUACCUAAAAAGAAAUCUCCUAUAGCAUCAAAUGAACCUAAUAUUUCAUUUAAGACUUUUGAUGCUUCUUAUGUGCUCACUAACAAAUCAGGCAAAGUAGUUGCCAAAUAUGUUGGGGUCAAACACAAGGGAUCGAAGACUUGUGUUUGGGUACCCAAGGUGCUUGUUUCUAAUGUGAAAGGACCCAAGACCAUUUGGGUACCUAAGAACAAGGCCUAAAUUUGUUUUGUAGGUUUAUGCAUCCGGGGGCUCAAGUUGGAUCAUUGAUAGCGGGUGCACAAACCACAUGACUGGGGAGAAAAGGAUGUUCUCCUCCUAUGAGAAAAAACAUGAUCCCCAAAGAGCUAUCACAUUCGGGGAUGAAAAUCAAGGUUUGGUCAAAGGACUUGGUAAAAUUGCUAUAUCACCUGACCAUUCCAUUUCCAAUGUUUUUCUUGUAGAUUCUUUAGAUUAUAACUUGCUUUCAGUUUCUCAAUUAUGCAAAAUACGCUACAAUUGUAUUUUUAGGGAUAUAGGUGUUACUGUCUUUAGAAGAAGUGAUGAUUCAGUAGUGUCGGCAUUUCAAACCCGGGGGGUCCCUGGACCGACGAGUAAAUUAUCGCCGCGUGCCCCAGUCCAGAUGGAUCGGCGCGAGACGGAGCGCGAAGGGGGGAAGCAGCCGGAGGGAGACAGGCGUGAGAGGUGAAAUCCCGCGGCCUUCGUGUUUGUCCUGCGCCCAGGUCGGGUGCACUUGCAGUAGGGGGUUACAAGCGUCCACGCGGGAGGGAGCGAGCGGCCUUGCGCGAGCGCCGUCCCGUCCUUCCCCAUGCGGCCAACCCUCUCUAAGAGGGCCCUGAACCUUCCUUUUAUAGGCGUAAGGAAAGGAUCCAGGUGUACAAUGGGGGGUGUAGCAGUGUGCUAACAUGUCUAGCGGAGGAGAGCUAGCGCCCUAAGUACAUGCCAUCGUGGCAGCCGGAGAGGUUUCGGCACCCGGUUGGUGUGGUGUCGUGGCCGUCGGAGGAGCGUUGGAGCCUGGCGGAAGGACAACUGUCGGGGCUGUCGGGUCCUUGCUGACGUCCUCUUGCUUCCGUAAGGGGGCUGAGAGCCGCCGUCGUCAUAGAACAUGCGGGGCGCCAUCAUUACUUGUCUGGCGAAGCGAGCCAGAUGGGACACCGGUCCUGUUCCCCGUAGCCUGAGUCAGCUUGGGGUAGGGUAAUGAUGGCGCCUCCUGUGACGUGGUCGGUCCGAGCCCUGAGUUGGGCGAGGUGGAGGCUCCUCCGAGGUCGAAGUCGAGUCUGUCUUCCGAGGCCGAAGUCGAGUCCGAGCCCCUGGGUCGGGCGAGGCGGAGACCGUCGGCUGAGGCCAGGGCUGAGUCCGAGCCCUGGGGUCGGGCGAAGCGGAGUUCGUCUCUUCCGGGGCUGAGCCCGAGUCCGAGCCCUGGGGUCGGGCGAAGCGGAGUUCGUUUCUUCCGGGGCUGAGCCCGAGUCCGAGCCCUGGGGUCGGGCGAAGCGGAGUUCGUCAUCUUCUGGGGCUGAGCCCGAGUCCGAGCCCUGGGGUCGGGCAAAGCGGAGUUCGUCGUCUUCCGGGGCUGAGCCCGAGUCCGAGCCCUGGGGUCGGGCGAAGUGGAGUUCGUCGUCUUCUGGGGCUGAGCCCGAGUCCGAGCCCUGGAGUCGGGCAAAGCAGAGUUUCCUAUGGCGCCUGAGGCCGGACUUGGCUGCUGUCAGCCUCACUCUGUCGAGUGGCACGGUAGUCGGAGCGGCGCAGGCGGCGCUGUCCUCUUGUCAGGCCUGUCAGUGGAGCGGCGAAGUGACUACGGUCACUUCGGCUCUGUCAACUGGAGGACGCGCGUCAGGAUAAAGGUGUCAGGCCACCUUUGCAUUAAAUGCCCCUACGAUUUGGUCGGUUGGCGUGGCGAUUUGGUCAAGGUUGCUUCUUGGUGAAGACUGGGCCUCGGGCGAGCCGAAGGUGUGUCCGUUGCUGGAGGGGGUCCUCGGGCGAGACGUAGAUCCUCCGGGGUCGGCUGCCCUUGCCCGAGGCUGGGCUCGGGCGAGGCGGGAUCGUGUCCCUUGAAUGGACCGAUCCUUGACUUAAUCGCACCCAUCAGGCCUUUGCAGCUUUGUGCUGAUGGGGGUUACGAGCUGAGAUUUAGGAGUCUUGAGGGUACCCCUAAUUAUGGUCCCCGACAGUAGCCCCCGAGCCUCGAAGGGAGUGUUAAUACUCGCUUGGAGGCUUUUGUCGCACUUUUUUGCAAGGGGACCAGCCUUUCUCGGUUGCGUCUUGUUCUGGUGGGUGCGCGCGAGCGCACCCGCCGGGUGUAGCCCCCGAGGCCUCGGAGGAGUGGUUUGGCUCCUUCGAGGUCUUAAUGCAUUUUGUAAUGUUUCGGCAGGUCUGGUCGUUCCCUCAUGCGAGCUGGCCGUAGCCCGGGUGCACGGUCGGGUCCCAAGUUCUCGGGCUGGUAUGUUGACGCUGUCAACGGUUUGGCCGGAGCCGAGUUUGCGAGAGCAGCCCCCGAGCCUCCGCACAGGGCGAGAGGAUGGUCAAGGACAGACUCGACUUUUUUACAUACGCCCCUGCGUCGCCUUUCCACAAGGAGGAGGGGGAGAGCUCCAUGUUGCCCUUGGAGGGCGCCGAACAUGGUGUCUCCAGCGAGCUGCUGACGGGUAAUCCGAGUGGACGCCCGUGCCCCAUUUGUUAGGGGUCGGCUAGAGGCCCGGAGGCGCGCUCCAAAAGUACCUGCGGGUGAUCUUCCGGACCCGGUCCCCUUUUGAUGGGGUCCGAGGGCUCGAUGCCUCCCUCUGAUGGGAUUCCGUUACAAGAUCGUUCCCGCUGGUCUCGGAAAUGUCCUAGGGUACCUCGGGAGCGUAGCCCGAGCCUUGGUUAUGUAUCGAACGUACCCAGGGUCAUCCCUCGCUCUGCGUCUGAGGCGGCUGUGAACCCUUCGUGGGCCAGCCUACGAACCCCUAAUCAGUAGUGGGCGCGGAGCCCGAGUGGCCUGAGGCGGCCGUUGAACCCUUCCGAGGGGCCGGCCCUCGAACCUCUGACCAGUAGUGGGCGCGGAGCCCGAGCGCUCUGAGGCGGCUGUUGAACCCCUCUGAGGGGCCAGCCUUCGAACCUCUGAUCAGUAGGGGGGCUCGGGGUCCGUUUCCUUCGCGGAGAAGGAUCCCUUUCGGGGUAUCCCCCUUUCCCGGUCCCUGUUGUAAGAGAGAGAAAGAGGAAAGGGGAGAGAAUACGAAAUCGAGAUGAUGUGGCGCACCUUUUUGACGCGGUCAUUAUGGCGAAGGCGAAGCGUCGCUCGCUUCUCCUGCCAAAGGCGCCGCCUGUCCCGCCGCGGAGUUAAUGCGACGGGGUGAGUGGUUUGCGGGGCAGCCGUUGCGCGUGCGCGGUCCGUUCGAGGAACGGAACACGGGCGCGUCGUCUUCACACCGUGAGAGAGGGUUCUCUCGCUGUCCCACGAGGUGACGUGAGCUUGGCUGACGACGUGACCGCUGCUUCUGCCCGCCUGCCACCGCCAUUACUGCCGGCCCAUUUUUGGCUGCAUCGACCGUCUCGCCUUCUCCUGCGGCUGACUGGCCCGUGACCGAUGCGUCUGGCUAGCACUGUUGGGUCGUACGCAGAGUUGCCUCGAGUCGCGGUACUAGUUCCGCAGUCGAGGAGGCGCGGUAGUGGCACGAGUGGCGGUGCAGUUGCUCGCACGUAGCAACCGGCGCGCCGGUUGCAUGACGUGUGAGCCUAGGCCUCCAUGCUGGGCGCGUUGGAGUCGAAGGGGUGCGCCCACUUGGCGCGGUUGCAUGCCGACUGCAUGGUUGUCCGCCCUUUCACCCGCUGGUCUGGGCGAAAGUGGAGGAAUGCUUGUAACCGCUGGGCAGUUGCGUGUACCGCGCGCGGCGGUUUGGCUUCUUCUGCCCUGGGCCAGCUUGCAUGACGCGUGGGACCCAGCCCCCGUGUCGUAGGGGGAGGACCUUGGAGCGUGUUGGAGAAGACUCAGCCCUUGAUGGCUGAGGACGCAGGUGGGAAGAGUCGCCUUUAAAAGGAGGGUGAUCCCCUUGAAAGGCGACCAUGUCUUCGCACUCCCUUAUGCAUCGCGUCUUUCCACCUUCCGAGCCCCCGGAUGGGGAACACCCGCAAUCCUUCCACCUUGUCGUUGGAGGAACGCAACUUCGUGGAAGUUGGUACCUUUCAGCCAUCGUUCGGUUUCAAGGAUUUUCAUUAUGCAGCCCGGCCGCAUCCCCUCGCCGGCGGUCACCCAAGACGGUGACCACCAGCCCCUGGGUGGGGAGAAGCAAGCCGGGCUGCGAUCUUGGUCCCGCCCUCAGCUUCAAGGAUGUUCAUCAUCCUUGCUGGGGCGGAGGCCGGGCUGAGCCGGAGCUCUACCUCCCGCGCGGGUUCGUCGGUCAGCCUCUCCUUCAGCAUUUUUGGCACGGAGCCUGAACAUGUAUGUAUUUAUUUUUGGCACGGAGCCUGAACAUGCAAUGUCUUGUUCAUUGCGGCUGUCGGGGCCUGAACAUGUAUGUAUUUUUGGCACGGAGCCGUGUUUUUUCCUCAUUUUGAGCACUAAGACUCGCCUGUCGACUAUCUGAACCGCUUCACCAAGCGUGAGUCGCCUCGUGCAAAGGUGACGAGUGAGGUAUCCGUAUCCCGGAGGCGUAGGAGUCCCUCGGCUCGGUCGGCCUUGUCGUCCGAGGCUUCUCUUGCUUAGUUAAAGGAAACCCUCGGCCGCUCUUCGAUGAGCCUGAAAGUCGCCUAGAGGGGGGGUGAAUAGGGCGAAACUGAAAUUCUAAAAAAUAAUCACAACUACAAGCCGGGUUAGCGUUAGAAAUAUGAUAGAGUCCGCGAGAGAGGGUGCAAAACAAAUCGCAAGCGAAUAAUGAAGUGAGACACACAGAUUUGUUUUACCGAGGUUCGGUUCUCUCAAACCUACUCCCCGUUGAGGAGGCCACAAAGGCCGGGUCUCUUUCAACCCUUCCCUCUCUCAAACGGUCCCUCAGACCGAGUGAGCUUCUCUUCUCAAAUCACAUGGGAAUCAAAACUUCCCGCAAGGACCACCACACACUUGGUGUCUCUUGCCUCAAUUACAAGUGAGUGUUUGAUCACAAGAAAGAAUGACAAAGAAAAGAAGCGAUCCAAGUGCAAGAGCUCAAAUGAACACUACAAAUCACUCUCACUAGUCACUAAGGCUUUGUGUGGAGUUGAGAGAGGAUUUGAUCCUUUUUGGUGUGCUUUGCAAUGAAUGCUAGCUCCUGUAUAGUGGUUGGAAGCUGGAAAACUUGGAUGCAAUGAAUGGUGAGGUGGUUGGGGUAUUUAUAGCCUCAACCACCAAACUAGCCGUUUGCAGAGGCUGUCUGUUCGAUGGCGCACCGGACAGUCCGGUGCACACCGGACAUGUCCGGUGCGACAGCCACGUCACCAAAAGCCAUUGGGUUCGACCGUUGGAGCUCUGUCUUCUGGGCCCGCCUUGAUGUCCGGUGGCGCACCGGACAUGUACUGUAGAGUGUCCGGUGCGCCAGCAUGGGCGUGCCUGACCUCUGCGCGCGCUGGCGCGCAUUUAUUACGUCGCAGGUAGCCGUUGGCGCCUGAAGUAGCCGUUACCCCGCUGUUGCACCGGACAGUCCGGUGUACACCGGACAGUCCGGUGAAUUAUAGCGGAGUGGCCGAAGUGAAUUUCCGAGACUGGCGAGUUCCGGAGGCCGCUCUUCCUUGGAGCACCGGACACUGUCCGGUGUACACCGGACAGUCCGGUGAAUUAUAGCGGAGUCGCCUCUGGAAUUUCCUGAAGGUGAGCAGUUCGGAGUUGGAGUCCUCUGGUGCAUCGGACAUGUCCGGUGGCACACCGGACAGUCCGGUGCGCCAGACCAGAGGUGCCUUCGGUUGACCCUUGUUCCUUUGUUUGAACCCAAUACUUGGUCUUUUUAUUGGCUAAGUGUGAACCUUUGGCACCUGUAUAACUUAUAUACUUGAGCAAACUAGUUAGUCUAAAUAUUUGUGUUGGGCAAUUCAACCACCAAAAUUAAUUAGGGACUAGGUGUAAGCCUAAUUCCCUUUCAAUCUCCCCCUUUUUGGUGAUUGAUGCCAACACAAACCAAAGCAAAUGUAGAAGUGCAUAAUUGAACUAGUUUGCAUAAUGUAAGUGCAAAGGUUGCUUAGAGUUGAGCCAAUAAAUAUCACUUACUAGAUAUGCAUGGAUUGUUUCUUUAUAUUAACAUUUUGGACCACGCUUGCACCACAUGUUUUGUUUUUGCAAAUUCUUUUGUGAAUCCUUUUCAAAGUUCUUUUGCAAAUAGUCAAAGAUAAAUGAAUAAGAUUUUACAAAGCAUUUUCAAGAUUUGAAAUUUUCUCCCCCUGUUUCAAAUGCUUUUCCUUUGACUAAACAAAACUCCCCCUAAAUGAGAUCCUCCUCUUAGUGUUCAAGAGGGUUUUGAUGUAUCAUUUUUGAAAUACUACUUCCUCCCCCUUUUGAACAUAAUAAGAUACCAAUUUGAAAUUGAUCAAUUGAAAAUCUCCAAUUUUAAAAAUUAGGUGGUGGUGCAGUCCUUUUGCUUUGGGCUCAUAUUUUCUCCCCCUUUGGCAUGAAUCGCCAAAAACGGAAUCAUUAGAGCCCGUAGGAGUACUUUCUCCUCCUUUGGUCAUAAAAUAAAUGAGGGAAGAUUAUACCAAAGUUGGAGAGUGAUGCGGAGCGACGGCGAAGGAUGAGUAGUAGAGUGGAGUGGAAGCCUUGUCUUCGCCGAAGACUCCAAUUCUCUUUCAAUAUAUCUAUGACUUGGUUUGAAAUAGACUUGAAAACACAUUAGUCAUAGAAAAAAGAGACAUGAUCAAAGGUAUACUCAUGAGCUAUGUGUGCAAAUUAGCAAAAGAAAUUUCUCGAAUCAAGAAUAUUGAGCUCAUGCCUAAGUUUGGUAAAGGAUUGUUCAUCAAGUGGCUUGGUAAAGAUAUCGACUAAUUGAUCUUUAGUGUUAAUGUAUGAAAUCUCGAUAUCCCCCUUUUGUUGGUGAUCCCGAAGAAAAUGAUACCGAAUGGCUAUGUGUUUAGUGCAGCUAUGCUCAACAGGAUUAUCCGCCAUGCGGAUUGCACUCUCAUUAUCACAUAGAAGGGGAACUUUGGUUAAUUUGUAACCAUAGUCCCGCAGGGUUUGCCUCAUCCAAAGCAAUUGCGCGCAACAAUGGCCUGCGGCAAUAUACUCAGCUUCGGCGGUAGAAAGAGCGACCGGAUUUUGCUUCUUUGAAGCCCAAGACACCAAGGAUCUUCCCAAGAACUGGCAAGUCCCCGAUGUGCUCUUUCUAUUAAUCUUACACCCCGCCCAAUCGGCAUCCGAAUAUCCAAUCAAAUCAAAUGUGGAUCCCCGAGGGUACCAAAGCCCAAACUUAGGAGUAUAAGCAAAAUAUCUUAAGAUUCGUUUUACGGCCGUAAGGUGGGAUUCCUUAGGGUCGGAUUGGAAUCUUGCACACAUGCAAACGGAAAGCAUAAUGUCCGGUCGAGAUGCACAUAAAUAAAGCAAUGAACCAAUCAUCGACCGGUAUACCUUUUGAUCCACGGACUUACCUCCUGUGUCGAGGUCGAGAUGCCCAUUGGUUCUCAUGGGUGUCUUGAUGGGCUUGGCAUCCUUCAUUCCAAACUUGGUUAGAAUGUCUUGAGUGUACUUUGUUUGGCUAAUGAAGGUGCCCUCUUGGAGUUGCUUGACUUGGAAUCCUAGAAAAUACUUCAACUCCCCCAUCAUCGACAUCUCGAAUUUUUGUGUCAUGAUCCUACUAAAUUCUUCACAAGUAGAUUCGUUAGUAGACCCAAAUAUGAUAUCAUCAACAUAAAUUUGGCAUACGAACAAAUCAUUGUCAAAAGUUUUAGUGAACAAAGUAGGAUCGGCCUUGCCGACUUUGAAGCCAUUAGUAAUAAGGAAAUCUCUAAGGCAUUCAUACCAUGCUCUUGGGGCUUGCUUGAGCCCAUAAAGCGCCUUAGAGAGCUUAUAGACAUGGUUAGAAUACUCACUGUCUUCAAAGCCGGGAGGUUGCUCAACGUAGACCUCUUCCUUGAUUGGUCCAUUGAGGAAGGCACUCUUCACGUCCAUUUGGUAAAGCUUGAAGCCAUGGUAAGUAGCAUAGGCCAAUAAUAUACGAAUUGACUCAAGCCUAGCUACGGGUGCAUAGGUUUCACCAAAAUCCAAACCUUCGACUUGUGAAUACCCCUUGGCCACGAGUCGAGCUUUGUUCCUUGUCACCACACCAUGCUCGUCUUGCUUGUUGCGGAAGACCCACUUGGUUCCUACAACAUUUUGAUUAGGACGUGGAACUAAAUGCCAUACCUCGUUCCUCGUGAAAUUGUUGAGCUCCUCUUGCAUCGCCAUCACCCAAUCUGAAUCUUGGAGUGCUUCCUCUACCCUGUGUGGCUCAAUAGAGGAAACAAAAGAGUAAUGCUCACAAAAAUGUGCAACAUGAGAUCGAGUGGUUACCCCCUUAUGAAUGUCGCCAAGAAUGGUGUCGACGGGGUGAUCUCGUUGGAUUGCUUGGUGGACUCUUGGGUGUGGCGGCCUUGGUUGUUCAUCCUCCUUGUCUUCAUCAUUUACAUCUCCCCCUUGAUCAUUGUCGUCAUCUUGAGGUGGCUCAUUUAUUUGAUCUUCCCUUUCAUCAACUUGAGCCUCGUCCUUAUUUUGAGUUGGUGGGGAUGCUUGCAUGGAGGAGGAUGGUUGAUCUUGUGCAUUUGGAGGCUCUUUAGAUUCCUUAGGACAUACAUCCCCAAUGGACAUGUUCCUUAGCGCGAUGCACGGUGCCUGUUCUUCACCUAUCUCAUCAAGAUCAACUUGCUCUACUUGAGAGCCAUUAGUCUCAUCAAACACAACGUCACAAGAAACUUCAACAAGUCCUGAGGACUUGUUAAAGACUCUAUAUGCCCUUGUGUUUGAGUCAUAUCCUAGUAAAAAGCCUUCUACAGUUUUAGGAGCAAAUUUAGAUUUUCUACCUCUCUUAAUAAGAAUAAAGCAUUUGCUACCAAAAACUCUAAAAUAUGAAAUAUUUGGCUUUUUACCGGUUAGGAGUUCAUAGGAUGUCUUCUUGAGGAUUCGGUGUAGAUAUAACCGGUUGAUGGCGUAGCAGGCGGUGUUGACCGCCUUGGCCCAAAACCGAUCCGAUGUCUUGUACUCAUCAAGCAUGGUUCUUGCCAUGUCCAAUAGAGUUCGAUUCUUCCUCUCCACUACACCAUUUUGUUGUGGAGUGUAGGGAGAAGAGAACUCGUGCUUGAUCCCCUCCUCCUCAAGGAAGCCUUCAAUUUGAGAGUUCUUGAACUCCGUCCCGUUGUCGCUUCUAAUUUUCUUGAUCCUCAAGCCGAACUCAUUUUGAGCCCGUCUCAAGAAUCCCUUUAAGGUUUCUUGGGUAUGAGAUUUUUCCUGCAAAAAGAACACCCAAGUGAAGCGAGAAUAAUCAUCCACAAUAACUAGACAGUACUUACUCCCACCGAUGCUUAUGUAAGCGAUCGGGCCGAAUAGGUCCAUGUGUAGGAGCUCCAGUGGCCUGUCACUAGUCAUGAUGUUUUUGUGUGGAUGAUGGGAACCAACUUGCUUUCCUGCUUGGCAUGCGCUACAAAUCCUGUCUUUCUCAAAAUGAACAUUUGUUAGUCCCAAAAUAUGUUCUCCCUUUAGAAGCUUAUGAAGAUUCUUCAUUCCAACGUGGGCUAGUCGGCGAUGCCAGAGCCAACCCAUGUUAGUCUUAGCAAUUAAGCAUGUGUCGAGUUCAGCUCUAUCAAAAUCUACCAAGUAUAGCUGACCCUCUAACACACCCUUAAAUGCUAUUGAAUCAUCACUUCUUCUAAAGACAGUGACACCUACAUCAGUAAAGAGACAAUUGUAGCCCAUUUGACAUAAUUGGGAUACGGAAAGCAAAUUGUAAUCUAAAGAAUCUACAAGAAAAACUUUGGAAAUGGAAUGGUCAGGAGAUAUAGCUAUUUUACCCAAACCUUUGACCAAACCUUGGUUUCCAUCCCCGAAUGUGAUAGCUCGUUGGGGAUCUUGGUUUUUCUCAUAUGAGGAGAACAUCUCUGACCAAACCUUGGUUUCCAUCCCCGAAUGUGAUAGCUCGUUGGGGAUCUUGGUUUUUCUCAUAUGAGGAGAACAUCUUCUUCUCCCAUGUCAUGUGGUUUGUGCACCCGCUGUCGAGUAUCCAACUUGAGCCCCCCGGAUGCGUAAACCUACAAAACAAUUUUAGUUCUUGACUUUAGGUACCCAAACGGUUUUGGGUCCUUUGGCAUUAGAAACAAGAACUUUGGGUACCCAAACACAAGUCUUGGAGCCCUUGUGAUUGCCCCCAAUAAACUUGGCAACUACUUUGCCGGAUUUGUUAGUCAAAACAUAAGAUGCAUCAAAAGUUUUAAAUGAAAUGCUAUGAUCAUUUGAUGCAAUAGGAGUUUUCUUUCUAGGCAACUUAGCACGGGUUGGUUGCCUAGAGCUAGAUGUCUCACCCUUAUACAUAAAAGCAUGGUUAGAGCCAGAGUGAGACUUCCUAGAAUGAGUUCUCCUAAUUUUGCUCUCGGGAUAACCGGCAGGGUACAAAAUGUAACCCUCGUUAUCCUGAGGCAUGGGAGCCUUGCCCUUAACAAAGUUAGACAAGUUCUUAGGAGGGGCAUUAAGUUUAACAUUGUCUCCCCUUUGGAAUCCAAUGCCAUCCUUGAUGCCAGGGCGUCUCCCAUUAUAGAGCAUACUUCUAGCAAAUUUAAAUUUUUCAUUUUCUAAGUUUUGCUCGGCAAUUUUAGCAUCUAAUAGUGCUAUAUGAUCAUUUUGUUGUUUAAUUAAGACCAUAUGAGCAUGAAUAGCAUCAACAUCAAUAUCUCUACAUCUAGUACAAAUAGAAACACGCUCAACCUUAGAUGUAGAGGGUUUGCAAGAUUUUAAUUCAACAACCUUAGCAUGUAAUACAUCAUUCUCACUUCUAAGGUUGGAAAUAGUAACAUUGCAAACAUCAAAAUCUUUAGCCUUAGCAAUCAAAUUUUCAUUUUCUAUUCUAAGGCUAGCAAGAGAAUCAUUCAAUUCCUUAAUCUUAGCAAGCAAAUCAUCAUUAUCAUUACUAAGAUUGGGAAUUGAGGCAUUACAAACAUGUGAAUCAACCUUAGCAAUCAAUUUAGCAUUUUCACUUCUAAGGUUGGCAAUAGUGUCAUGGCAUGUGCUUAGCUCACUAGAUAAUUUGUCACAUUUUUCUACCUCUAGAGCAUAAGCAUUUUUAACCUUAACAUGUUUUUUGUUUUCCUUAAUAAGGAAGUCUUCUUGAGAGUCCAAGAGAUCAUCCUUCUCAUGAAUAGCACUAAUUAGUUCAUUUAAUUUUUCCUUUUGUUGCAUGUUAAGAUCGGCAAAAAGGGUACGCAAAUUAUUCUCCUCAUCACUAGCAUUAUCAUCACUAGAGGAUUCAUAUUUAGUGGAGGAUUUAGAUUUAACCUUCUUCUUUUUGCCGUCCUUUGCCAUGAGGCACUUGUGGCCGACGUUGGGGAAGAGGAGUCCCUUGGUGACGGCGAUGUUGGCGGCGUCCUCGUCGGAGGAGGACUCGGUGGAGCUCUCGUCGGAGUCCCACUCCCGGCAAACAUGGGCAUCGCCGCCCUUCUUCUUGUAGUACUUCUUCUUUUCUCUCCUCUUUCCCUUCUUGUCGUCGCCCCUGUCACUGUCACUAGAUAUAGGACAUUUUGCAAUAAAAUGACCGGGCUUACCACACUUGUAGCACACUUUCUUGGAGCGGGGUUUGUAGUCCUUCCCCCUCCGUUGCUUGAGGAUUUGGCGAAAGCUUUUGAUGAUUAAAGCCAUCUCCUCAUUGUCGAGCUUGGAGGCGUCAAUUGGUUGUCUACUUGGUGUAGACUCCUCCUUCUUUUCCUCCGUCGCCUUAAAUGCCACCGGUUGCGCCUCGGACGUGGAGGGUUCGUCAAGCUCGUUGAUCUUCUUUGAGCCUUUAAUCAUGCAUUCAAAGCUCACAAAAUUCCCGAUAACUUCCUCGGGAGUCAUUAGUGUGUAUCUAGGAUUACCACGAAUUAAUUGAACUUGAGUAGGGUUAAGGAAAAUAAGUGAUCUCAAAAUAACCUUAACUACUUCGUGGUCAUCCCAUUUCUUGCUCCCGAGGUUGCGCACUUGGUUCACCAAGGUUUUGAGCCGGUUGUACAUAUCUUGUGGCUCCUCCCCUUGGCGAAGACGGAAGCGACCGAGCUCCCCCUCGAUCGUUUCCCGCUUGGUGAUCUUGGUGAGUUCAUCACCCUCGUGCGCGGUCUUGAGUAGGUCCCAAAUCUCCUUUGCAUUCUUCAACCCUUGCACCUUGUUGUAUUCCUCCUUGCUUAGAGAGGCGAGGAGUAUGGUUGUAGCUUGUGAGUUGAAGUGCUCGAUUUAGGCCACUUCGUCCGUAUCAUAGUCUUCAUCCCCUACGGAUGGUACCUGUGCUCCAAACUCAACAACAUUCCAUAUACUUUUGUGGAGUGAGGUUAGAUGAAAUUUCAUUAAAUCACUCCACCUAGCAUAAUCUUCGCCAUCAAAAGUUGGCGGUUUGCCUAAUGGAACGGAAAGUAAAGGAGUAUGUCUAGAUGUACGAGGAUAGUGUAAGGGGAUCUUACUAAACUUCUUGCGCUCUUGGCGCUUAGAAGUUACGGACGGCGCAUCAGAGUCGGAGGUAGAUGUUGAUGAAGUGUCGGUCUCGUAGUAGACCACUUUCCUCAUCCUCUUGUGCUUGUCGCCUUUCCGAUGCGACUUGUGGGAAGAAGAUUUUUCCUUCUUCUCUUUGUGGUGAGAAGAAGAAGAUCUUUUCUCCUUCCGCUUGGAGGAGUUCUUCUUCUUCUCCUUCCUCUUGGUGUGGGACUCUUCCGAUGAAGUGCUCCCUUGGCUCGUAGUGGGCUUGUCGCCGGUCUACAUCUCCCUCUUGGUGUGAUCUCCCGACAUCACUUCGAGCGGUUAGGCUCUAAUGAAGCACUGGGUUCUGAUACCAAUUGAAAGUCGCCUAGAGGGGGGGUGAAUAGGGCGAAACUAAAAUUCUCAAAAAUAAUCACAACUACAAGCCGGGUUAGCGUUAGAAAUAUGAUAGAGUCCGCGAGAGAGGGUGCAAAACAAAUCGCAAGCGAAUAAUGAAGUGAGACACGCGGAUUUGUUUUACCGAGGUUCGGUUCUCUCAAACCUACUCCCCGUUGAGGAGGCCACAAAGGCCGGGUCUCUUUCAACCCUUCCCUCUCUCAAACGGUCCCUCGGACCGAGUGAGCUUCUCUUCUCAAAUCACAUGGGAAUCAAAACUUCCCGCAAGGACCACCACACACUUGGUGUCUCUUGCCUCAAUUACAAGUGAGUGUUUGAUCACAAGAAAGAAUGACAAAGAAAAGAAGCGAUCCAAGUGCAAGAGCUCAAAUGAACACUACAAAUCACUCUCACUAGUCACUAAGGCUUUGUGUGGAGUUGAGAGAGGAUUUGAUCCUUUUUGGUGUGCUUUGCAAUGAAUGAUAGCUCCUGUAUAGUGGUUGGAAGCUGGAAAACUUGGAUACAAUGAAUGGUGAGGUGGUUGGGGUAUUUAUAGCCUCAACCACCAAACUAGCCGUUUGCAGAGGCUGUCUGUUCGAUGGCGCACCGGACAGUCCGGUGCACACCGGACAUGUCCGGUGCGACAGCCACGUCACCAAAAGCCGUUGGGUUCGACCGUUGGAGCUCUGUCUUCUGGGCCCGCCUUGAUGUCCGGUGGCGCACCGGACAUGUACUGUAGAGUGUCCGGUGCGCCAGCAUGGGCGUGCCUGACCUCUGCGCGCGCUGGUGCACAUUUAUUACGUCGCAGGUAGCCGUUGGCGCCUGAAGUAGCCGUUACCCCGCUGUUGCACCGGACAGUCCGGUGUACACCGGACAGUCCGGUGAAUUAUAGCGGAGUGGCCGAAGUGAAUUCUCGAGACUGGCGAGUUCCGGAGGCCGCUCUUCCUUGGAGCACCGGACACUGUCCGGUGUACACCGGACAGUCCGAUGAAUUAUAGCGGAGUCGCCUCUGGAAUUUCCUGAAGGUGAGCAGUUCGGAGUUGGAGUCCUCUGGUGCACCGGACAUGUCCGGUGGCACACCGGACAGUCCGGUGCGCCAGACCAGAGGUGCCUUCGGUUGACCCUUGUUCCUUUGUUUGAACCCAAUACUUGGUCUUUUUAUUGGCUAAGUGUGAACCUUUGGCACCUGUAUAACUUAUAUACUUGAGCAAACUAGUUAGUCUAAAUAUUUGUGUUGGGCAAUUCAACCACCAAAAUUAAUUAGGGACUAGGUGUAAGCCUAAUUCCCUUUCAGAGCCAAAGCCGGAGGUAGCGGCGUCAGCACGGACAGAGGCAGAGUUGGCUCAAAAAGAGGAUUUGGUCGGUCGGAGCCUGGCCGGGUCGUCCACUGGCGGGACCGACGCCGGAGUUGAGUUACCGAGGCCACAAACCGAGCUGAUGUCCUCGGGGGACAGCUGGCUAAGGCUUCGGGGUGACCGGCCCGAGCCAUCUGCUCGAGUCGGAUUCCUGGAGAAGGCCCUGGCAGCGAUGGCCCGGGCGUGGUGCUGAUGUCGUCCUUCAGAGUGGAGAUCCUCCGACCGCGUCGCCGUCUGAGGCUAGGUCGGGCCUCGCCGAAGGUGUAGUUGACACCGAGGGUGCUGCUGCUCCCUUCACUGUCAAGAUCCGAGCCUGCAGGAUCGGAUUAUCUUGUAGUGUGUGUAUGUUUUCCGCGGCCGCCGAGGCCCAAACACACCAUCAUCGUGUUGUAAAGCUGCGUUUCUUUUCCCCUUAUUUCGAGUAUCUGGACUUAUUUAUCGGUAACAGAAUUUGUUUGUGCGAGCGAGAGUUACUUUUCACGGAAGGUGAUGAGUGAGGUAUCCGUAUCUCAGAGGCGUAGGAAUCCCUCGGCUCGGUCGGCCUUGCCGCUUACGCGCACUCUUACUCGUCCAUAGGGUUCUGUCACCGACGUAGUCGAGAAGGCCCGAAAAAUCAUUUCGGCAGAGGAGCUUUCGAGCGUGAAGACUUGUUCGGUCCGCGGAAUCACCUAUCCGAGCGCGAGUUACUUAUCGCAGAAGGUGAUGAGUGAGGUAUCCGUAUCCUGGAGGCGUAGGAGUCCCUCGGCUCGGUCAGCCUUGACUGCUUACGUGUACUCCGUCGUUUUCAGGAUCCACUUUCGGAGUAACCGAAAAGCACGAAAGACAUUCUGGCGGAAAAGAUCUUUUUCCGAGGAAAAUUUUGAUGCAGAGGGGGUUCCCCCCUUUUAGCCCCCGAGGGAGGGUCGGGCUUUGCCGAGGCAAGGCUGACCCUUCCUUGAUGACUAAACUUUGCGUGGGAACGAGGUAUACGAACAACUUGAAAGCAUCUUAAGGGUAGAAGUGACGUAGCUGUUGUAUGUUCCAAGCGUUGUUGUAGACCUCGCCUUGACUGUUGGCCAGCUUGUAUGUUCCGAGCUUCAGAACCUUGGUGACGACGAACGACCCUUCCCAGGGAGGCGUGAGCUUGUGCCGCCCUCGGGCGUCUUGUCGCAGCCGAAGCACCAGGUCGCCCACCUGAAGGUCUCGGGACCGAACCCCUCGGGCGUGGUAGCGUCGCAGGGACUGCUGGUACCGCGUCGAGUGUAGUAAGGCCAUGUCCUGAGCCUCUUCCAGCUGGUCCAGUGAGUCUUCUCGAUUAGCUUGAUUGCUUUGGUCAGCGUAGGCCCUCGUCCUCAGGGAACCGUAUUCUAAGUCUGUGGGCAAGACGGCUUUGGCCCCAUAGACUAGAAAGAACGGUGUGAAGCCCGUGGCUCGGCUCGGCGUUGUCCUCAAACUCCAGACCUCUGAGGGGAGUUCCUUCAUCCAUCGCUUGCCGAACUUGUUGAGGUCGUUGUAGAUCUGCGGCUUGAGUCCUUGCAGGAUCAUGCUGUUGGCACGCUCUACUUGCCCAUUCGUCAUGGGGUGAGCCACGGCGGCCCACUCUACCCGGAUGUGGUGAUCCUCGCAGAAGUCUAGGAACUUUCUGCCGGUGAACUGGGUGCCGUUGUCGGUGAUGAUGGAGUUCGGGACCCCAAAGCUGUGACAGAACCUCCCAAGUAAUUAGGCCCACCUACAGUUGUCCUUGUCCAACGGACAUCAGACAACCCUGUAGGUGCCCCUGAACUACUUGACAAGCUCGGUAUCUUUCCUUACCUUACCAGGAACGUCUCACCCGUCUUGCAGACAUUACAGAACAUCGGAGAUAUGCGGAAGCAGUUACAUAAACUUACAUUUAUUUCAAAAGCAAGCUUGAGUUAUGUUAUUACAGACCAGACUAAACGUGAGUGCAGAGUAGUAAUAUUAUACAAACCAGGGGAGGCACAAACUCCUCCCGAUAAGUUUAACAAAAGAUCCUAAGUGGAGGACCGAAUCCUCCCGCACUUCAGUCUUCUUUUUCCUCGUUUGAUACCACCUUGGAGCAGAAGCAACAAAAGUUUGUCGCUUCCUCACCUAAAAACAACAAAGGGAUAAACCCUGAGUAUGGAAUACUCAGCAAGUCUUACCCGACUAAGGAAAAGACUCUCAAGGGUAUGCUGGAUAAGUAGGAGUCAAGGAGAGGCUUUAGCAAAAAUCAACUUAUAGUUUUGCAGAAGAAGCUUACUAAAGUGAGUCCUUACUUUCCAUCUUUUAAUGCCAUCUUAAGUAUUAAUAGACUCUAUUUGCAUCUAGUCUAAUUUCACAUCCAAUCAAGACAACAUUAGUUUUAUCCAUAGUGUUCACAUCCUGACUGUAGGUUGUAGAAAAGUGACCAAGUCUUCAUAACCGCGAAGGUACGGCGAUCCGAAUCGAUUAUACUCAGCUGAGGAUCUCCAAUCACACGACAUAUGUAGCACUUAACCCUUGCAUAUGUCAACCCGCCACCGGGGUUCUUAAGACCGGAUCAGGUUCACGCAAACCGAGAGCACAGAUACACCACCGUCCAGCCUCUUGCCACGGAGGGUACACGCUACUCUCGCCACCGCUCCACGCCCAUUUCGUGUUAUCUUAUUCCGACCUUAGUCUGCCCGAGGCAAGGCUUACCCAUGACGAGGCAUGUGACCAGUUAAAGGGUCCUCGGUCAGCACGCCUACAUACGCGUUAAUCCUUAACCAACUUGGGUAGAACAUCACCUGUUCCUAACCCAAGUCUCAAUUUAAGUAUUUCCAUCCUUAGGAUUGUGUCUGUUCCUUAGGAUGAAAGAGCAUCACAGGGAACUUUGCAGUAAGAUCCCACUUUUGCUCCAAAUGAAAAUAUUCUUGCAGGUAGAAGCCAUCCUCUCCAUGGUUAAAUUGAGGACAACUUCUAUCCACAAGAUCUAAGCAAGUCUAAGCAUUUUUGUAAAUCAUAUUUUGAUACUUCACAGAAGUAUCUAUAAAGGUAUGGAUAUCAAGGAAAGCAAUGCAUCAAAGGGUUUCAAGUAACUCCUAUGAACCUAAUGCACAUUUCACUAGACUUAAGUGUGCAAAAAGUAUUUAAAAACACAAGGAAAGGGGUGGCAUGCACCGGGGCUUGCCUUCGUUCACAGGUGAAUCAGGCUCAGAUCCACAGAUGUCAAAGUAGAAAUGAUUCCCGGCCUAAGACUCCGAAGGUGGUGGUGUCUCCUCUUCGGUAACUUCGAUUUCUUCCUCACGUUCUAAUCAUAACCAUACAUAUGUAUAAGAAUGGAUGCCAUGGGAUGCUCAUGAGGAUGCAAAGAUAGCAUAAACUUAUUAUUUAUGUCUUGAAUACAACUUUCCUUCACGGAGUUCCGGAGUCGGUAAAGGAGUUCAUAGGGCGGGGGGGGGGGGGGUGUUUUGGGGUUUGGUGAUCAAACAAGGUCCAAAUCAAUUCAAACUCUACCCAAGGCUUCUAAAUAGUGUAUAACACUCAUAUAAAAAUUUUGGGCAUUUUUGGACUUACCAAUUAUUUUCUAAAAAUCUAUAACCAACAUUUUUAACCACUUUAAAUACCCUAAAUUUUCUUACUUCCACUAAAAAUCACAAACUUAUUUUUAUUAAAUACUAUGGAAAAUAACAAACCUAGGAAAAUUAGUCUCAUAUUUUUAGGAUUUUUCUAAAUUUUUCUAUAAUUAUUUUGGCUCUGCUGUAAAAGAAAAAAGGAAAAUAUUCCAACAGUGAUGGGCCAGAUUCAGCCCAGCGGCCCAGUUCCAGAGGGAAAGCGCGCCCGUGCGCCCUGACGGUUUUGCAGAACGACCCCCGCGUUUUUAUCUAACAGCGAACGAGCCCUUUCACUAUUCCUGUGUGUCGCUGACCGAUCACAAAAAGGCCCCUGCGUUUCUUUCUAUUUCCGAUUGGAAGUCCACGACAGCGCUCGCGCACCGCCGUGCUCCGACGAGCAAGCAGAUCGGCCAGAAGGGACAACGGCUAGGGUUUUUGAGCAGCAGACACCAAAUUCAAGUCCUAAGGACUCUUUCCCCCCAAUCAAUUUCAUGCUUGGUGAUCUGCCAAGCUCUACCCGCGAGGACAGUGCACGGCGCGGAUAGGUGUUCGUGUUCCAAUCAAUUCAUGGCAGUUAAAUUCAAUUGGAUGGUUUGGAAAGCAUCAAGGACACACGAGAAUGUUAGAACAAGCAACAGAGCAACAUGAACUGACCUAAUUUGGGCUGGCCACGGUGAGACUUGUUUCACGGUGGCGGAGAGCGAGGUUGGGGGAAAUUCCGAAUUCGAGCAGAUGAGUGGAUGAUUGUGGCUGAUUAGCGGUGGUUAGCUAGCGAACUACCCCACGGAGCUAGACACGGGCUCAAUUUAUAGGAAGGAUGGGCGGUGGGCGCGAAUUUGGACGAGACACGCGGCGGUCGGAGGUGAAGAAGAAGCACUGGCCGCGUGAGUUCGUGGCCAACGGCGUGGCAGUAACUCCGGUGAGCCACGGAGACUUCAGAGGAGGUCACGGCGACACGGUAAAAGAGUUGAGCCACGCGGCGCACGGCCGGGAGGCGGCGGUCGACGGUGAACAUAUCCACAUCCACCGCGGUAAUGAUGGUACGGUGGCCGGAGUUGUUUAAUGGCCGAAGUUUAUCCCCGGCGGUGACCUCCAAGCGUUAUCCACACGGUCCGCACGAAUCACAGCAACGGAUCGACCACCGGCGACGACCUACCAGCGACGAGCCCGCCGCGCUGGCAACCUGAUCCACUCGGGUCUACUAGUACCAUGGCAAUCCUCAUUCAGAGCACCUGACAGCCGGAGUUGAGGGUCGAUUUUCUCCAAAUUUCACUUGGCGACUCACCCAAGUAUCUGCAUCAAAGUUGUAGUGCUACUUACCAACUACAAUUCGACUAUAGGGGCUACACUUAUUUGAGCACUGGAUCAAGGUCAAACUGGCUCUCAAACUUGGGUCUAGGCCACUGUUAGUCUGAAAUUCAGACAAUACUAGCCUGACAGCCUGACUUCAGGCUUAAUUACCUCCAAAAUUUUCUUAACAACUGUGCUCACACCUUUUAGCAAAGUUGUACUCCUAUAGUUGGGCUACAAUCUUGAUGUGGUGACCUAGGGCAAAAACCCUAUAAUUUGAAAGUGACAAAGCCCCAAAGUGGAGCCUUUAACACUAAAUUUCAGACUUGGUAUAGAACUCAAAUGAGGUCCAUUUUGCAUUUAAGUCCAAAACUUAGGGUUUGGCUUGUAAAUUCACAUAUUUGUGAACCAAAUGACUUUAUAUGUCAAAACAUAGUAGUUUUUACACUUUAGUCCAAAGGUUCAUCAUUUUUGCACAUAAGUCCCUAGGGUUUGGUUUUAGGGUUUUCUAGGGUUCCAAUUAGGGUUUCUGGUAUCUCAGGGGUACAAAAGUGAUUCAAGUUUAUUCUUAGGGUCAUUUUAUGACUUUUACCCUAAAGCUUUUUAGGUUUUCUUAACUUGGGUUAAGUUUUACCCCUUUAACCACUAUUUAGGGUUAAGUCCAUUAACCAGGGUUCCAUUUGCAAAAACAUUAAAACAAUACAACUUGUUUGAAAUUUUUGCCUAGUGAAUGCACUCUAGGUGUGUCACACAUAUGCAAUGCCAAUGCUAAUGAUGUCAUGCUCAAGUUUUAUUUAUAGUAACACCAGGGGUGUUACAUCCUUCCCCCCAUAAAAGAAUCUCGUCCCGAGAUUAAAAUCCUAGGGUAGGUAAUGGUAAAGGAAACACAUCACAUUUUUAUUUCCUUAAUUUUGGUACAAGGCAGGGGUAAUGUGGGGGUUACUUCUUUAUUACAACAGCUAUACAGGCUUUACAAUUUACAUGAGGCUAGAAAGCCUGGGAAAUUCUUAUCUAAAAAGUCUUGGGUUUCCCAUGUAGCCUCAUCUUCCGAAUGCUGGUUCCACUGUAUCUUGUAGAACUUAAGAGUCUUUCUUCGGGUGACCCUAUCCUUUUGAUCCAGAACUCGAAUAGGAUGCUCCGAGUAUGUUAAAUCUGGUUCCAGGACAACAUCAGUCACUUCAACGGUUCGAUCGGGAACCCGAAGACACUUCUUCAAUUGUGACACGUGGAACACAUUAUGCACAGUAGACAAGGUUUCGGGGAGCUGAAGUCGGUAUGCCACUGGUUCACAUUGCUCAAGCACCAGGAAUGGACCAAUGUAUCUGGGUGCAAGUUUCCCUUUUACCCCGAAACGCGAUACACCCUUCAUUGGUGAAACUUUUAAGUAGACAUAAUCGUCUACCAGAAAGCAUAAGGGUUGUCGUCGUCGGUCUGCAUAAUUCUUUUGUCGAGUCUGAGCUUUCUUCAUAUUAUGGAUAAUUCUCUGAACCUUUUCUUCGACCUCUUUCACCAUAUCAGGUCUAAAGAAGUAUCUUUCUCCAGGUUCAGACCAAUUUAGCGGAGUUCGACACCGUCGUCCAUAUAAAGCUUCAAAAGGUGCCAUCUUGAUACUUUCUUGAUAACUAUUAUUGUAUGAAAACUCCGCUAGGGGCAAACAUUCAUCCCAUUUUUGCGAGAAGUCCAGGACACAUGCCCGCAGCAUAUCUUCAAGUAUUUGGUUCACCCUCUCAGUCUGCCCACUGGUUUGAGGAUGAUAAGCCGAACUGUGGAGUAAUUUAGUACCCAAGGAGUUGUGAAGUGCUUCCCAGAACUUGGCUACAAAUUGAGGUCCACGAUCCGACACAAUGGUCUUCGGAACACCAUGCAGACUGAGAAUACAGGCAAUGUAUAAUGCUGCAUAAGUGGCUACUGUAUAUGUGACCUUGACAGGUAAGAAGUGGGCAAUCUUUGUGAGUCGAUCAACGAUAACCCAAAUAGAAUCAUACCCUUUGGCUGUCCUGGGCAGUCCCACAAUAAAGUCCAUACUGAUGUCUUCCCAUUUCCAUGUUGGGAUUGGCAAAGAUUGUAAUGGACCAGCAGUUUUCAUGUGUAUGGCCUUGACACGUCUGCAAGUGUCACACUUCGCCACAUAGCGUGCAAUUUCGAUUUUCAUCUUUGUCCACCAAUAAUGUUGCUUUAAGUCUUGAUACAUCUUAGUGCUUCCGGGAUGAAUAGAAUAGCGACUAAGAUGUGCCUCAUCAAGAAUUUGCUGGCGGAGUUCUUCGUUCUUUGGCACUACUAUGCGGUUUUUAAACCAUAUCACACCUUGAUCGUCUUCCUUGAAACACUUGGCUACUCCAGCCUUUAUCUUCUCUCGAAUGUGCUUCAUACCCAGAUUAUCCUUUUGAGCAUCAAUUAUUCUUUGCAAAAUGAUUGACUCAAGCUUUAGUUGAUUUAGAGUCCCUUGUUGGAUGAUCCCUAGGUUUAGCUUUUCCAUUUCUUGACACAAAGUGUUCUCGGAGGUCUUUGCCAUAAGACAGUGGCAGGAAGUCUUACGACUCAAUGCAUCUGCCACCACAUUGGCCUUGCCUGGGUGAUAAUGGAUCUCCAGUUCAUAGUCUUUAAUGAGCUCAAGCCAUCGUCUUUGCCUCAUAUUUAACUCUGACUGGGUGAAGAUGUACUUCAAACUUUUAUGAUCUGUAUAUAUGUGACAGAUAUUUCCCAGCAGAUAGUGACGCCAAAUCUUUAGGGCAUGAACCACAGCAGCUAGCUCCAGAUCAUGAGUUGGAUAGUGCUCCUCAUGUCGGCGCAACUGCCUUGAAGCAUACGCAAUCACUCGGUCCUCUUGCAUCAGUACACAGCCGAGCCCACUGCCAGAUGCAUCACAAUAUACGUCAAAAGGUUUAGUGAUGUCCGGUUGAGCCAAUACCGGAGCAGUGGUCAAUAGUGUCUUCAGUUGCUCAAAGGCUUCAUUACACUUAGAAGACCAAUUGAACUUAAUGUCAUUCUUCAAUAAACUUGUGAUUGGCUUCACAAGCUUAGAGAAAUCUGGUAUGAAUCUGCGAUAAUACCCAGCUAGUCCAAGAAAACUCCGGACUUGGUGAACAGUGGUUGGAGGUUUCCACUCCAGAAUAUCUUUGACCUUGCUAGGAUCUACCGCAAUUCCUUUAGCUGAUAACACGUGCCCCAAAAAUUGAAUUUCUUCCAGCCAGAACGCGCACUUGCUGAACUUGGCAUAUAGUUGGUGUUCCCUUAGGCGCGUCAAUACAAUCCGUAAAUGCUGAGCAUGGUCUUCUUCAUUCUUGGAAUAUAUCAAGAUAUCGUCGAUGAAGACUACCACGAACUUGUCCAAUUCGGGCAUGAACACCGAGUUCAUUAAAUAAGUGAAGUGGGCAGGAGCAUUUGUGAGCCCGAAAGACAUUACCAAGUAUUCAAACAAUCCAUACCGCGUAGUAAACGCGGUUUUCGGUAUAUCCUCGGGCCGAAUACGGAUUUGAUGAUAGCCCGACCUGAGAUCAAUUUUGGAAAAUACCCUCGCCCCAGUCAGCUGAUCAAAUAAGAUGUCGAUCCUUGGAAGAGGGUACUUAUUCUUGAUAGUGACCUCAUUUAGGGGUCGAUAAUCCACGCACAUUCGCAAGGUUUGAUCCUUCUUCUUAACAAAAAUGGCGGGACAACCCCACGGGGACGAGCUUGGCCGGAUGAAUCCCUUAUUCAAUAGAUCUUGUAAUUGAAUCUUUAAUUCCGCCAAUUCAUUAGGGGGCAUACGGUACGACCUUCGGGAGAUGGGAGCCGUACCGGGCUUUAGCUCAAUUACGAAUUCUACAUCUCUUUUAGGGGGCAGUCCAGGCAAAUCUUCCGGAAAUACAUCUGGAAACUCACAUACUACCGGAAUGUUCUUGAUCUCUGGUACAAUGGCUUCAUAGACUCUACCAGAAGUUUUGGCUGGAUUGGUUGCGGGGAGAGUCAAAAGAAUCUCUUCUUGGUUAUAGCUCAACCUGACGGUCCUGAGUUCAGUGUUGAGAAUUGCCUUGUGUUGGGUUAACCAAUUCAUACCCAAGAUUACAUCUAUAUCCUGGCCCUUCAGAACAAUCAUGUUAGCAGGAAAGUUCCGUCCGGCCAUUGUUAUUGGCACUCCAUAGGCCACUUCUUUAGUAUAAAUGUGUCCCCCAGGUGAAUGAAUUUUAAAUCCCUCCUUUGAUUCAUGGUAUGCAAUAUGAUAUUGUUCCACAAACUUCUUGCUAAUAAAUGUAUGUGAAGCACCAGAAUCAAAAAGAAUAAUUGCUGGGUGACUGGCCACGGGAAACGUACCCAUCAUCACCGGCUCUCCUUCCGGUGUAGUAGCCACUUGAGUGUAAUAUAUACGCCCUGUCUUCUUCGUAUUUUUCCCCAUAGCAUUUCCUUUAGGCUGAGCUAAUUUCCCAGAUCCUUGCGAAGCAUUAGAUUGAUUUUGCCUAGGAUAUGGGCAGUCUUUGAUGAAGUGUCCCGACUUGCCGCAAUUAAAACACCCAGUUGAAGAACUAGGCAAGGCAGGAAAUCAAGUGCCUAGGGCACCCGGCUGUUUUGGGGUAGUGGGGGCAUUGUUGGGGCGGAUAAUGAUUGGCUGUUUGAAGGGAAAUGAAGGUGGACGAGAAAAAGGGCGAUUUUGGCUUGAAGGUCGGAUCACAAACCGUGGUUUCUUCGCCUGGCCCUGACUAGGCCUCUCACCACCGAAUCCCUUAUUCUUCCCAGAAUUUGUGUAUUUGGCUUCAACAGAUAAGGCUGUGCUGACAGCCUUUCCAUACGUGAGAUCUAUGCAUGUGGCCAUUUUCCUUUGUAGCCGAUCAUUCAGUCCCCGCAUAAAACAGUUCUUCUUCUUUAAAUCCGUAUUCACCUGGUCAAUGGCAUACUGCGAUAGGUGAUUGAAUUUGUUGAGAUAUUGGUUGACGGUAUCUCCACCUUGUUGUAACUUCAUAAACUCCUCUUGUUUCAUAUGUAGCACUCCUUCGGGGAUGUAGUGUUCACGGAAGGCUGCUUUAAACUCAUCCCAAGUGACUUGAUGGUUGACAGGUUGGAUAGCCACAAAAUUUCCCCACCAGGUACUGGCAGGACCACGGAGUUGUUGUGCGGCGAAUAACGGCUUCUGCGUUUCUGAGCAACGGAGAAGACCAAACUUUUGCUCAAUAACCCGAAUCCACUCGUCAGCUUCUAGGGGAUCUUCUGCCUUGACGAAUAGAGGUGGACGGGUUUCCGAGAAAUCCAGAUAGGUGGUCUCAUGAGGGCCUUGCGGAAAACCCCUUCCUGCUUGCUGCUGGAAUUGCUGCUGACCCGCCAUUUCCCUAAGGAAGCGGGUAUUGUCCGCGGUGGCAUUCACCAAGGCGGCGAUCGCCUCGGCUAACGUGGGAGGAACUGGAGGUGGGUUUGGGGUAACAUCCCGUCCCCCAGAAGUUCCUGCUGCGUCCUGUCCUCGAGUCCUGGUCGGCAUCUGUGGCAAAAACAUUUGAAGUAAACAAAAUGUGCCAGAGAAAACCUUCCAUUAUACAUUACUAUAAAAAGUAAUGAUACAGACUCGAUAUUACAUAACAGGAUACAAUACCCAUUAUACAAAAGUUCAACCUAUUAUACAACAGUACACCCUACAAUACCCUACCAUACACUACUCUACUUCUAUUACACCUUUAUUCCUUCUUGCCAUUACUCUUGGCGGCUUCAUCGUCAGGUGUGGGAGUCCAGACAUCAACCAACCUCAAAGAAGGAGGGGGCUCAAAAAGGUCUAACUCCCCACCCAGCGCACGUCCCGCAACGUGAGAUGGUCCAGCUUCCGCCUCAGCAGGUUGUGCAGGCUCACUUGGGUGUAGUUGUGAGUAUAGUAUAUGGACUUCCUCGUGCAACGUGUUGCAGUAAACCUGCAGGUUAUCAACAGUCGAGCUAAGUUCUUUAACUCGGGCCUGAGCCCUUGUUUCCUUAGCACACAUUAGCAAACGAGACUGUACGGCCCAGUCAAGUGCUAAGUCUCGAUCAGCGAGUUGAUCCUGCAAGUGUCGGAUGUCCCUUCUCAGUUCGUUGAUUCUAUCUCCGUCGGCGACCCAAGCAUCAGUCCUAUGUUGCAGCACCGCUUGAAGUCGACUCACCCGGGCUUCAAGGUCUCCGAUGGGGUCGUUACUUCCACUGCUGCUGCUUUCAUGUCGGGGAGCCAAUUGAUGCCGAGGCACCCCAAUUGGUCCCGUAGACUUGCGUGCCGUUAGCCUGGUGCGUGGCGGCAUCUUUUCUAAGGGGGAAAAUGUUAUUAGUAAGAUUCUUAGCAUGAUGCAUGUAUAAUUACAGAAUCAACCUUAGUCAAUUCAACCUUCUAUAUGUUGCACUCUUCCUAUCUGGUCUUUAAAAUAGACUCUUCAGAAUACUUAGGUAAGAAGAGAAAAGAAUUUUUAGGUAAGACUUUUGAAAAUCCUUUUGAAGAUGCCUCAUAAUAUCUGCAAAGAAGGGCUACGCUCCGAUACCAGCUGUGACAGAACCUCCCAAGUAAUUAGGCCCACCUACAGUUGUCCUUGUCCAACGGACAUCAGACAACCCUGUAGGUGCCCCUGAACUACUUGACAAGCUCGGUAUCUUUCCUUACCUUACCAGGAACGUCUCACCCGUCUUGCAGACAUUACAGAACAUCGGAGAUAUGCGGAAGCAGUUACAUAAACUUACAUUUAUUUCAAAAGCAAGCUUGAGUUAUGUUAUUACAGACCAGACUAAACGUGAGUGCAGAGUAGUAAUAUUAUACAAACCAGGGGAGGCACAAACUCCUCCCGAUAAGUUUAACAAAAGAUCCUAAGUGGAGGACCGAAUCCUCCCGCACUUCAGUCUUCUUUUUCCUCGUUUGAUACCACCUUGGAGCAGAAGCAACAAAAGUUUGUCGCUUCCUCACCUAAAAACAACAAAGGGAUAAACCCUGAGUAUGGAAUACUCAGCAAGUCUUACCCGACUAAGGAAAAGACUCUCAAGGGUAUGCUGGAUAAGUAGGAGUCAAGGAGAGGCUUUAGCAAAAAUCAACUUAUAGUUUUGCAGAAGAAGCUUACUAAAGUGAGUCCUUACUUUCCAUCUUUUAAUGCCAUCUUAAGUAUUAAUAGACUCUAUUUGCAUCUAGUCUAAUUUCACAUCCAAUCAAGACAACAUUAGUUUUAUCCAUAGUGUUCACAUCCUGACUGUAGGUUGUAGAAAAGUGACCAAGUCUUCAUAACCGCGAAGGUACGGCGAUCCGAAUCGAUUAUACUCAGCUGAGGAUCUCCAAUCACACGACAUAUGUAGCACUUAACCCUUGCAUAUGUCAACCCGCCACCGGGGUUCUUAAGACCGGAUCAGGUUCAUGCAAACCGAGAGCACAGAUACACCACCGUCCAGCCUCUUGCCACGGAGGGUACACGCUACUCUCGCCACCGCUCCACGCCCAUUUCGUGUUAUCUUAUUCCGGCCUUAGUCUGCCCGAGGCAAGGCUUACCCAUGACGAGGCAUGUGACCAGUUAAAGGGUCCUCGGUCAGCACGCCUACAUACGCGUUAAUCCUUAACCAACUUGGGUAGAACAUCACCUGUUCCUAACCCAAGUCUCAAUUUAAGUAUUUCCAUCCUUAGGAUUGUGUCUGUUCCUUAGAAUGAAAGAGCAUCACAGGGAACUUUGCAGUAAGAUCCCACUUUUGCUCCAAAUGAAAAUAUUCUUGCAGGUAGAAGCCAUCCUCUCCAUGGUUAAAUUGAGGACAACUUCUAUCCACAAGAUCUAAGCAAGUCUAAGCAUUUUUGUAAAUCAUAUUUUGAUACUUCACAGAAGUAUCUAUAAAGGUAUGGAUAUCAAGGAAAGCAAUGCAUCAAAGGGUUUCAAGUAACUCCUAUGAACCUAAUGCACAUUUCACUAGACUUAAGUGUGCAAAAAGUAUUUAAAAACAUAAGGAAAGGGGUGGCAUGCACCGGGGCUUGCCUUCGUUCACAGGUGAAUCAGGCUCAGAUCCACAGAUGUCAAAGUAGAAAUGAUUCCCGGCCUGAGACUCCGAAGGUGGUGGUGUCUCCUCUUCGGUAACUUCGAUUUCUUCCUCACGUUCUAAUCAUAACCAUACAUAUGUAUAAGAAUGGAUGCCAUGGGAUGCUCAUGAGGAUGCAAAGAUAGCAUAAACUUAUUAUUUAUGUCUUGAAUACAACUUUCCUUCACGGAGUUCCGGGAACUUAGGGUUUCCGGAGUCGGUAAAGGAGUUCAUAGGGCGGGGGGGGGGGGGGGGGGUGUUUUGGGGUUUGGUGAUCAAACAAGGUCCAAAUCAAUUCAAACUCUACCCAAGGCUUCUAAAUAGUGUAUAACACUCAUAUAAAAAUUUUGGGCAUUUUUGGACUUACCAAUUAUUUUCUAAAAAUCUAUAACCAACAUUUUUAACCACUUUAAAUACCCUAAAAUUUCUUACUUCCACUAAAAAUCACAAACUUAUUUUUAUUAAAUACUAUGGAAAAUAACAGACCUAGGAAAAUUAGUCUCAUAUUUUUAGGAUUUUUCUACAUUUUUCUAUAAUUGUUUUGGCUCUGCUGUAAAAGAAAAAAGGAAAAUAUUCCAACAGUGAUGGGCCAGAUUCAGCUCAGCGGCCCAGUUCCAGAGGGAAAGCGCGCCCGCGCGCCCUGACGGUUUUGCAGAACGACCCCCGCGUUUUUAUCUAACAGCGAACGAGCCCUUUCACUAUUCCUGUGUGUCGCUGACCGAUCACAAAAAGGCCCCUGCGUUUCUUUCUAUUUCCGAUUGGAAGUCCACGACGGCGCUCGCGCACCGCCGUGCUCCGACGAGCAAGCAGAUCGGCCAGAAGGGACAACGGCUAGGGUUUUUGAGCAGCAGACACCAAAUUCAAGUCCUAAGGACUCUUUCCCCCCAAUCAAUUUCAUGCUUGGUGAUCUGCCAAGCUCUGCCCGCGAGGACAAUGCACGGCGCGGAUAGGUGUUCGUGUUCCAAUCAAUUCAUGGCAGUUAAAUUCAAUUGGAUGGUUUGGAAAGCAUCAAGGACACACGAGAAUGUUAGAACAAGCAACAGAGCAACAUGAACUGACCUAAUUUGGGCUGGCCACGGUGAGACUUGUUUCACGGUGGCGGAGAGCGAGGUUGGGGGAAAUUCCGAAUUCGAGCAGAUGAGUGGAUGAUUGUGGCUGAUUAGCGGUGGUUAGCUAGCGAACUACCCCACGGAGCUGGACACGGGCUCAAUUUAUAGGAAGGAUGGGCGGUGGUCGCGAAUUUGGACGAGACACGCGGCGGUCGGAGGUGAAGAAGAAGCACUGGCCGCGUGAGUUCGUGGCCAACGGCGUGGCAGUAACUCCGGUGAGCCACGGAGACUUCAGAGGAGGUCACGGCGACACGGUAAAAGAGUUGAGCCACGCGGCGCACGGCCGGGAGGCGGCGGUCGACGGUGAACAUAUCCACAUCCGCCGCGGUAACGAUGGUACGGUGGCCGGAGUUGUUUAAUGGCUGAAGUUUAUCCCCGGCGGUGACCUCCAAGCGUUAUCCACACGGUCCGCACGAAUCACAGCAACGGAUCGACCACCGGCGACGACCUACCAGCGACGAGCCCGCCGCGCUGGCAACCUGAUCCACUCGGGUCUACUGUACCAUGGCAAUCCUCAUUCAGAGCACCUGACAGCCGGAGUUGAGGGUCGAUUUUCUCCAAAUUUCACUUGGCGACUCACCCAAGUAUCUGCAUCAAAGUUGUAGUGCUACUUACCAACUACAAUUCGACUAUAGGGGCUACACUUAUUUGAGCACUGGAUCAAGGUCAAACUGGCUCUCAAACUUGGGUCUAGGCCACUGUUAGUCUGAAAUUCAGACAAUACUAGCCCGACAGCCUGACUUCAGGCUUAAUUACCUCCAAAAUUUUCUUAACAACUGUGCUCACACCUUUUAGCAAAGUUGUACUCCUAUAGUUGGGCUACAAUCUUGAUGUGGUGACCUAGGGCAAAAACCCUAUAAUUUGAAAGUGACAAAGCCCCAAAGUGGAGCCUUUAACACUAAAUUUCAGACUUGGUAUAGAACUCAAAUGAGGUCCAUUUUGCAUUUAAGUCCAAAACUUAGGGUUUGGCUUGUAAAUUCACAUAUUUGUGAACCAAAUGACUUUAUAUGUCAAAACAUAGUAGUUUUUACACUUUAGUCCAAAGGUUCAUCAUUUUUGCACAUAAGUCCCUAGGGUUUGGUUUUAGGGUUUUCUAGGGUUCCAAUUAGGGUUUCUGGUAUCCCAGGGGUACAAAAGUGAUUCAAGUUUAUUCUUAGGGUCAUUUUAUGACUUUUACCCUAAAGCUUUUUAGGUUUUCUUAACUUGGGUUAAGUUUUACCCCUUUAACCACUAUUUAGGGUUAAGUCCAUUAACCAGGGUUCCAUUUGCAAAAACAUUAAAACAAUACAACUUGUUUGAAAUUUUUGCCUAGUGAAUGCACUCUAGGUGUGUCACACAUAUGCAAUGCCAAUGCUUAUGAUGUCAUGCUCAAGUUUUAGUUAUAGUAACACCAGGGGUGUUACAAAAGCGAUGGAUGAUGUUGGUGAAGAACGCCACUGCCUGUUCGGACCUGAUGCUGUUUAGGGGUCGGACCUCGAUCCACUUGGAGAAUUUGUCGAUGGUGACCAACAGGUGCGUGUAGCCCCCGGGUGCCUUCUGCAAGGGGCCGACGAGGUCCAGACCCCACACAGCAAAAGGCCAGGUGAUGGGUAUCGUCUGUAGGGCCUGAGCGGGCAGGUGGGUCUGCCUUGCGUAGAACUGACACCCUUCGCAGGUGCGGACAAUUCUUGUGGCGUCGGCCACCGCCGUCGGCCAGUAGAAACCUUGUCGGAAGGCGUUUCCAACAAGGGCUCGAGGUGCUGCGUGAUGGCCGCAAGCCCCCGAGUGUAUCUCUUGUAGGAGCUCCUCAGACCAAACGGCAUGGUAACAUAGCAGUACAUGCCGAAGGGUGUGAUGAAAGAAUUCGCGAGCUGGUCAGACUCUUUCAUCUUGAUCUGGUGAUACCUCGAGUAGGCAUCGAGGAAAGACAGGGUUUCGCACCCAGUAGUGGAAUCCACGAUUUGAUCGAUGCGAGGCAGAGGGUAGGGAACUUUCGGACAUGCUUUGUUUAGACCAGUGUAGUCUACACACAUCCGCCAUUUCCCUCCUUUCUUUCUCACAAGCAGAGGGUUGGCAAGCCAUUCGGGAUGGAAUACCUCUUUGAUGAACACUGCCGCCAUUAGCUUGUGGAUCUCCUCGCCUAUAGCUCUGCGCUUUUCUUCGUCGAAUCGGCGCAGAGGCUGCUUCACGGGUCGGGCUCCAGCUCGGAUAUCCAGUGAGUGCUCGGCGACAUCCCUCGGUAUGCCGGGCAUGUCCGAGGGACUCCACGCGAAAACGUCGGCGUUUGCGCGGAGAAAGUCGACGAGCACUGCUUCCUAUUUGGGAUCGAGCUCGGAGCCGAUCCGGAUUUGCUUGGAGGCGUCGUUGCUGGGGUCGAGAGGGACGGAUUUAACCGUUUCCGCUGGCUCGAAGUUGUCGGCGUGGCGCUUCACGUCUGGCACCUCCUUAGAGAGGCUCUCCAGGUCGGCGAUGAGGGCCUCGGAUUCGGCGAGGGCCUUGGCGUACUCCACGCACUCCAUGUCGCAUUCGUACGCGUGUCGGUACAUGGGGCCGACGGUGAUGACCCCGUUGGGGCCCGACAUCUUGAGCUUGAGGUAGGUGUAGUUGGGGACGACCAUGAACUUGGCGUAGCAUGGCCUCCCCAGCACUGCGUGGUAGGUUCCUCGAAACCCGACCACCUCGAACGUGAGGGUCUCCCUUCGGAAGUUGGAGGGCGUCCCAAAGCAGACGGGUAGAUCGAGUUGUCCGAGGGGAUGGACGCGUUUCCCGGGGAUGAUCCCAUGAAAAGGCGCAGCGCCUGCCCGGACCGAGGAUAGAUCAAUCCACAGGAGCCCGCGGGUCUCGGCGUAGAUGAUGUUGAGGCUGCUGCCUCCGUCCAUGAGGACCUUGGUGAGCCUGACGUUGCCGAUGACGGGGUCGACAACGAGCGGGUAUUUCCCCGGGCUCGGCACACGGUCAGGAUGGUCGCCCUAGUCGAAGGUGAUGGGCUUGUCGGACCAGUGUAGGUAGACUAGCGCCACCACCUUUACCGAGCAGACCUCCCGACGCUCUUGCUUGCGGUGCCGAGCUGAGGUGUUCGCCACUCGCCCACCAUAGAUCAUGUAGCAGUCGUGGACCUCGGGGAACUCUCCUGCCUUGUGAUCUUCCUUCUUAUCGUCGUCGCGAGCCCUGCCACCCUCUGCGGGUGGCCCGACCUUAUGAAAGUGGCGCCGAAGCAUGGCGCACUCCUCGAGGGUGUGCUUGACGGGCCCCUGAUGAUAGGGGCACGGCUCCUUGAGCAUCUUGUCGAAGAGGUUGGCACCUCCGGGAGGUUUCCGAGGGUUUUUGUACUCGGCGGCGGCGACAAGGUCCGCGUCGGCGGCGUCACGUUUCGCUUGUGACUUCUUCUUGCCUUUCUUCUUGGCUCCGCGCUGGGUUGACGCCUCGGGGACAUCUUCCGGUGGGCGGCCCUGGGGCUGCUUGUCCUUCCGGAAGAUGGCCUCAAUCGCCUCCUGGCCAGAGGCGAACUUGGUGGCGAUGUCCAUCAGCUCGCUCGCCCUAGUGGGGGUCUUGCGACCCAGCUUGCUCACCAGGUCGCGGCAGGUGGUGCCGGCGAGGAACGCGCCGAUGACAUCCGAAUCGGUGAUGUUGGGCAGCUCGGUGCGCUGCUUCGAGAAUCGCCGGAUGUAGUCCCGGAGAGACUCUCCCAGCUGCUGUCAGCAGCUUCGGAGAUUCCAGGAGUUUCCAGGGCGCACGUAUGUGCCCUGGAAGUUGCCGGCGAAGGCUUGGACCAGGUCGUCCCAGUUGGAGAUCUGCCCCGGAGGCAGGUGCUCCAACCAGGCCCGAGCGGUAUCAGAGAGGAACAGGGGGAGGUUGCGGAUGAUGAGGUUGUCAUCGUCCGUUCCACCCAGUUGGCAGGCCAGCCGGUAGUCCGCGAGCCACAGUUCCAGUCUCGUCUCCCCCGAGUACUUUGUGAUAGUAGUCGGGGUUCGGAACCGAGUCAGGAACGGCGCCCGUCGUAUGGCACGGCUGAAAGCCUGUGGACCGGGUGGUUCGGGCGAGGGACUCCAAUCCUCCCCGCUGUCGUAGCGUCCCCCAUGCCUGGGGUGGUAGCCUCGGCGCACCCUCUCGUCGAGGUGGGCCCGACGGUUGCGGUGAUGGUGCUCGUUGCCGAGGCGACCCGGGGCCACAGGCGUUGUGUUGCGCGUGCGCCCGGUGUGGACCGAGGCUUCCCGCAUGAAUCGGGAAGUCGCGACGCGAUGUUCCGAGGGGCGCCCCUGCCUUCGGGAGGCGGAGCUUUCGGCCUGUCGGACCGCGGCGUCCUCCAGGAGAUUCUUGAGCUCUCCCUGGAUACGUCGCCCCUCGGUGGUUGAUGGCUCCGGCAUCGCGCGGAGAAGUAUUGCCGCUGCAGCCAGGUUCUGGCCGACUCCGCUGGAAGUGGGUGGCGGCCUUACCCUGACGUCGUCGGCGAUGCGAUGCUGGAAGCCCUGGGGGAGAUGACGCGCUUCUCCGGGCGGAGGUUGGCCCGUCCAUUCCUGCCCGAGCUCAAGUGUUCCUGCUCCCCCGUCGUCGGCUCAAGUGUUCCUGCUCCCCCGUCGAGCCUGGCCUGCAUCUCGCGGAUUUGCUCAAGCUGUGGGUCAGGACCCCCCGCCGGGACGGGGACCACAGCUAGCUCCCGAAGGAUGUCAACACGAGGUACAGGCCUAGGGAGAUCACCGUUCUCCGACAUACCAAGAUGGUUGCCUUCGUCGGGAUCCCCUAGAUCGAUGUGGAAACAUUCACGACUUGGGCCACAGUCCUCGUUGCCGAGGCUGCGGCUACCGUCGGAACAAUCAGAAAGGCAAUAGUCGCACGCGGUCAUAAAGUCCCGCAUGGCACUGGGGUUACCAAGUCCAGAGAAAUCCCAACAGAAGUCGAGCUCGUCAUCUUCCUCGGACCCCGAGGGCCCGUAGGUCGAGACGACCGUCAGCCGGUCCCAGGGUGACCGCAUACGACACCCCAGAGGGUUUGGACUCGCCUCUAUGAGAGCGUCCACCGAAGCGAAGUCGCUUGGUGGGUCGAGGCUGAAUCCAAAAGGCGCGAGAUGGGAAUCGGUCGGUACCUCUUGGUCGACGGGCGGUGACGAAGUCACGUCAGGGACUGACCGCACCGUCGUCUCAGGUACAAGGGUGACGCCCAGCAAGUCCUUCGCGAGCGUGCUGGCGUCGUCCGUUUGCUUGGGGUUGGCGUGUUGCGGGGAGACGACGCUCGUCUUCGUCUCAGACGCGAGGUCGGUGCUCGACGUGCCCCCCGCUGAGGCGCCGGCGCCGUCAACUCGCUCGACAGCCGACGAGGUGCCGCCUCCUGCUUGGCCUUGGUUGCCCCGCCCCCUCCUCCGUCGGUGGGGGAGGGGACGGGACAAGCCCGAAUGUUGUUCUUCCACCACGCGGGGAAGGCGUCGUCGAUUCCGCCGCCGGCGGGCGGGCUGUCGGCCGCCAUUGUCGCUGUCGCGCGGCGGGGGAAGAAGUAUCAUGUCGUAGCUGCCGUCGUGGGACAUGAACUCAAGACUCCCGAAACGGAGCACCGUCCCGGGCUGGAAAGGUUGCUGGAGACUGCCCAUCUGGAGCUUGACGGGAAGCUGUUCGUCAACACGCAAUAGGCCCCUACCUGGCGCGCCAACUGUCGGUGUUUCGAACCCGGGGGGUCCCUGGACCGAUGAGUAAAUUAUCGCCGCGUGCCCCAGCCCAGAUGGGUCGGCGCGAGACGGAGCGCGAAGGGGGGAAGCAGCCGGAGGGAGACAGGCGUGAGAGGUGAAAUCCCGCGGCCUUCGUGUUUGUCCCGCGCCCAGGUCGGGUGCGCUUGCAGUAGGGGGUUACAAGCGUCCACGCGGGAGGGAGCGAGCGGCCCUGCGCGAGCGCCGUCCCGUCCUUCCCCGCGCGACCAACUGAUAGUCGCCUAGAGGGGGGGGGG